Molecule: small RNA, 181 nt
Filed under: actinobacterium acAMD-2
Lineage: Bacteria; Bacillati; Actinomycetota; Actinomycetes
Description: Actinobacterium acAMD-2 c-di-AMP sequence
Rfam family: c-di-AMP riboswitch aptamer (ydaO/yuaA leader)
About the family: This family represents a conserved RNA structure found upstream of the ydaO and yuaA genes in Bacillus subtilis and related genes in other bacteria. The ydaO/yuaA element is thought to act as a genetic "off" switch for the ydaO and yuaA genes in its native state. It is believed that the element may be triggered during osmotic shock leading to activation of ydaO, a predicted amino acid transporter gene, and members of the yuaA-yubG operon which code for KtrA and KtrB K+ transporters.
Source: RNAcentral
UUGAUACCGACGCCGAAUCCUGCCUGGUAGCAAAGAAAAACCGCUUGGCAGGAGCGGGGGACCCAUGAAAGUGGCCCAGAUUUUUGGGCCUUGGGGUGAAGCCGACUAGGAAACUAGCCGGCCGGGCCAUACUCCGGCCCGAACCCGACAGCUCACCUCGAAGGCGUCGGAGAGGGCAUCU